AUUGAACGCUGGCGGCGUGCUUAACACAUGCAAGUCGAACGAUGAUGCUCUAGCUUGCUAGAGCGGAUUAGUGGCGCACGGGUGAGUAAUGUAUAGCUAAUGUGCCCUUUAGAGGGGGAUAACAGUUGGAAACGACUGCUAAUACCCCAUACUCCUUCUUCCUAUAAGGGAAGUUGGGAAAGUUUUUUCGCUAAGGGAUCGGGCUAUAUGGUAUCAGCUUGUUGGUGAGGUAAUGGCUCACCAAGGCUAUGACGCCUAUCUGGUCUGAGAGGAUGAUCAGACACACUGGAACUGAGACACGGUCCAGACUCCUACGGGAGGCAGCAGUGGGGAAUAUUACACAAUGGAGGAAACUCUGAUGUAGCAACGCCGCGUGGAGGAUGACACAUUUCGGUGCGUAAACUCCUUUUAUGUGAGAAGAUAAUGACGGUAUCACAUGAAUAAGCACCGGCUAACUCCGUGCCAGCCGCCGCGGUAA
Molecule: ribosomal RNA, 478 nt
Filed under: uncultured bacterium
Lineage: Bacteria
Description: partial 16S ribosomal RNA
Rfam family: Bacterial small subunit ribosomal RNA
Source: RNAcentral